UACGGAGGGUGCGAGCGUUGUCCGGAAUCACUGGGCGUAAAGGGCGCGUAGGCGGCUCGCUAAGUGGCUGGUGAAAUCCCGGGGCUCAACUCCGGGGCUGCCGGUCAGACUGGCGGACUCGAGCACGGUAGAGGCAGAUGGAAUUCCCGGUGUAGCGGUGGAAUGCGUAGAGAUCGGGAAGAAUACCAGUGGCGAAGGCGUUCUGCUGGGCCGUUGCUGACGCUGAGGCGCGACAGCGUGGGGAGCAAAC
RNAcentral lists this ribosomal RNA (250 nucleotides) under uncultured bacterium. Its description in RNAcentral is "partial 16S ribosomal RNA". It matches the Rfam family "Bacterial small subunit ribosomal RNA", at positions 524 to 773 of the family's 1533-position model. The record is from RNAcentral.